CAGUCGCCGCGGUAAUACGAAGGGGGCUAGCGUUGCUCGGAAUCACUGGGCGUAAAGGGUGCGUAGGCGGGUCUUUAAGUCAGGGGUGAAAUCCUGGAGCUCGACUCCAGAACUGCCUUUGAUACUGAAGAUCUUGAGUUCGGGAGAGGUGAGUGGAACUGCGAGUGUAGAGGUGAAAUUCGUAGAUAUUCGCAAGAACACCAGUGGCGAAGGCGGCUCACUGGCCCGAUACUGACGCUGAGGCACGAAAGCGUGGGGAGCAAACAGGAUUAGAUACCCCGGUAGUCCCUGUCUCUUAUAA
Molecule: ribosomal RNA, 301 nt
Filed under: uncultured bacterium
Lineage: Bacteria
Description: partial 16S ribosomal RNA
Rfam family: Bacterial small subunit ribosomal RNA
Source: RNAcentral